Molecule: ribosomal RNA, 811 nt
Filed under: Arthrobacter sp.
Lineage: Bacteria; Bacillati; Actinomycetota; Actinomycetes; Micrococcales; Micrococcaceae
Description: bacterial SSU rRNA
Rfam family: Bacterial small subunit ribosomal RNA
Source: RNAcentral
CGAACGAUGAAGCCCACUUGUGGGUGGAUUAGUGGCGAACGGGUGAGUAACACGUGAGUAACCUGCCCUUGACUCUGGGAUAAGCCUGGGAAACUGGGUCUAAUACCGGAUAUGACUCCUCAUCGCAUGGUGGGGGGUGGAAAGCUUUUUGUGGUUUUGGAUGGACUCGCGGCCUAUCAGCUUGUUGGUGAGGUAAUGGCUUACCAAGGCGACGACGGGUAGCCGGCCUGAGAGGGUGACCGGCCACACUGGGACUGAGACACGGCCCAGACUCCUACGGGAGGCAGCAGUGGGGAAUAUUGCACAAUGGGCGCAAGCCUGAUGCAGCGACGCCGCGUGAGGGAUGACGGCCUUCGGGUUGUAAACCUCUUUCAGUAGGGAAGAAGCCUUUCGGGGUGACGGUACCUGCAGAAGAAGCGCCGGCUAACUACGUGCCAGCAGCCGCGGUAAUACGUAGGGCGCAAGCGUUAUCCGGAAUUAUUGGGCGUAAAGAGCUCGUAGGCGGUUUGUCGCGUCUGCCGUGAAAGUCCGGGGCUCAACUCCGGAUCUGCGGUGGGUACGGGCAGACUAGAGUGAUGUAGGGGAGACUGGAAUUCCUGGUGUAGCGGUGAAAUGCGCAGAUAUCAGGAGGAACACCGAUGGCGAAGGCAGGUCUCUGGGCAUUAACUGACGCUGAGGAGCGAAAGCAUGGGGAGCGAACAGGAUUAGAUACCCUGGUAGUCCAUGCCGUAAACGUUGGGCACUAGGUGUGGGGGACAUUCCACGUUUUCCGCGCCGUAGCUAACGCAUUAAGUGCCCGCCUGGGGAGUAC